This 330-nucleotide long non-coding RNA is filed under the name Ananas comosus (pineapple). RNAcentral describes it as "long non-coding RNA (ACOM_LNC001424)". Lineage: Eukaryota; Viridiplantae; Streptophyta; Magnoliopsida; Poales; Bromeliaceae. The record is from RNAcentral.
AGUCCAUGAGAGAUAUAUUAAAUAUUUUUUAAGUUUUUGAAGGGUAUGUUGGAUAUUAACUUCUUUUCUUUUGUUUCUUGAACCAAAAGCAAUUUUCUUCCAUACUAAAUCAAUUUCUCUACUAUUCCUUUUUUAUUUAAAAAUCCAAACACAAUAUUUUCUAAUAACUUUUUAUAAUCAGUGCAACCAUCUAGCCAAGUAGUACUAACAACUCUUAAAUUGAGCUUAAACUGCUAACCCAAAAGCACAUUAGCCUAGUUAUUAAUACAAGAAAGCUGACGACAUAUAAUGUGCUCACACUCUCGCACAUUAUCUGAUGUUAGGACAAUU